UUGUGGAGGAGGACGCCGAAGGUGGGGCUAAUGACUGGGGUGAAGUCGUAACAAGGUAGCCGUACCGGAAGGUGCGGCUGGAUCACCUCCUAACAGGGAGACAACAAAAUGUUUAAUAUUAUUAUUUUGUCACCUUAGGUCGAUCGGUAUCUCACGUUUUUAAUUUAUUAAGAAUUUCAUUUCCUAAGUUUUUCUAGGUCACACCCAUUAUUUUCCUGGGCCAUUAGCUCAGGUGGUUAGAGCGCACCCCUGAUAAGGGUGAGGUCCCUGGUUCAAGUCCAGGAUGGCCCAUAUCUCUAUGUUGGGGGUAUAGCUCAGUUGGUAGAGCGCCUGCUUUGCAAGCAGGAUGUCAGCGGUUCGAGUCCGCUUACCUCCACUGAUUACCACCUCUUCCAUAAUCUAUAGAAAGGAAAAUUUUUGAGUUGUGAACCAAAUUCUGAACGAAUCUAGCUUCCUAAUGAACUCAUUAAGAUGCUGGACUCAUUGAAUUAAUUUCAUUGUUUUCAGAGAACCUUGACAACUGCAUAGAUUAUUUUUAAAGACAAUAAGCAUCUUUAAUGAUGCAGAUUUAUUAUUUUUGCAAAUGCAUUAAUAACAAUUCUAUUAAGCUGAUGCUUCAAUUAUGAAGUUAUUGGUCAAGCUACAA
RNAcentral lists this unclassified non-coding RNA (646 nucleotides) under uncultured Prochlorococcus sp. RNAcentral's name for it is "partial 16S-23S ribosomal RNA intergenic spacer; may also contain 16S ribosomal RNA and 23S ribosomal RNA". The stretch from base 304 to 376 matches the Rfam family "tRNA". The record is from RNAcentral. Lineage: Bacteria; Bacillati; Cyanobacteriota; Cyanophyceae; Synechococcales; Prochlorococcaceae.